UACAGAGGUCUCAAGCGUUGUUCGGAUUCAUUGGGCGUAAAGGGUGCGUAGGUGGCGCGGUAAGUCGGGUGUGAAAUCUCGGAGCUUAACUCCGAAAUUGCAUUCGAUACUGCCGUGCUCGAGGACUGGAGAGGAGACUGGAAUUCAUGGUGUAGCAGUGAAAUGCGUAGAGAUCAUGAGGAAGACCAGUGGCGAAGGCGGGUCUCUGGACAGUUCCUGACACUGAGGCACGAAGGCCAGGGGAGCAAACGGGG
This 254-nucleotide ribosomal RNA is filed under the name uncultured bacterium. RNAcentral describes it as "partial 16S ribosomal RNA". It matches the Rfam family "Bacterial small subunit ribosomal RNA", at positions 524 to 777 of the family's 1533-position model. The record is from RNAcentral.